RNAcentral lists this ribosomal RNA (460 nucleotides) under uncultured bacterium. Its description in RNAcentral is "partial 16S ribosomal RNA". It matches the Rfam family "Bacterial small subunit ribosomal RNA", at positions 338 to 795 of the family's 1533-position model. The record is from RNAcentral.
CCUACGGGAGGCAGCAGUGAGGAAUAUUGGUCAAUGGGCUUACGCCUGAACCAGCCAAGUCGCGUGAGGGAAGACUGCCCUAUGGGUUGUAAACCUCUUUUGUCAGGGAGCAAUUGGCGCUACGUGUAGCGUUAUCGAGAGUACCUGAAGAAAAAGCAUCGGCUAACUCCGUGCCAGCAGCCGCGGUAAUACGGAGGAUGCGAGCGUUAUCCGGAUUUAUUGGGUUUAAAGGGUGCGUAGGCGGAAUGCCAAGUCAGCGGUAAAAUCGGGGGGCUCAACCUCGCUCCGCCGUUGAAACUGGCUUUCUGGAGUGGGCGAGAAGUAUGCGGAAUGCGUGGGGUAGCGGAGAAAGGCAUAGAAACCACGAAGAACCCGGAGUGCGAGGGCAGCAUACCGGCGCCCAACUGACGCGGAAGCACGAAGGCGUGGGUAUCGAACAGGAUUAGAUACCCGAGUAGUC